RNAcentral lists this ribosomal RNA (812 nucleotides) under uncultured crenarchaeote. Its description in RNAcentral is "bacterial SSU rRNA". It matches the Rfam family "Archaeal small subunit ribosomal RNA", at positions 104 to 900 of the family's 1478-position model. The record is from RNAcentral. Lineage: Archaea; Thermoproteati; Thermoproteota.
CUAAUCUGCCCUUGGGAUAGGAAUACCCCCGGGAAACUGGGGCUAAUUCCCCAUAGGUGAAGAACUCUGGAAUGAGUCUCCACCAGAAAAGAGCUUACGUUACGCUCGUAAGUUUCGCCCAAGGAUGAGGCCGCGACCGAUCAGGUUGUUGGCGAGGUAAUGGCUCACCAAGCCUUUUACCGGUGCGGGCCGUGGGAGCGGGAGCCCGGAGAUGGGGACUGAGACAAGGGCCCAGGCCCUAUGGGGCGCAGCAGUCGCGAAAACUUUGCAAUACACGAAAGUGUGACAGGGCUAUCCCGAGUGCCAUCCGCUGAGGAAGGCUUUUACCCAGUCUAGAACGCUGGGGGAAUAAGGAGAGGGCAAGUCUGGUGUCAGCCGCCGCGGUAAUACCAGCUCUCCGAGUGGUGUGGAUGUUUAUUGGGCCUAAAGCAUCCGUAGCUGGCUAGGUAAGUCCCUUGUUAAAUCCACCGAAUUAAUCGUUGGAUUGCGGGGGAUACUGCUUGGCUAGGGGACGAGAGAGGCAGACGGUAUUUUCGGGGUAGGGGUGAAAUCCUAUAAUCCCGGGAAGACCACCAGUGGCGAAGGCUGUCUGCUAGAACGCGCCCGACGGUGAGGGAUGAAAGCUGGGGGAGCGAACCGGAUUAGAUACCCGGGUAGUCCCAGCUGUAAACGAUGCAGACUAGGUGUUUGGACGGCCACGUGCCGUUCUAGUGCCGCAGGAAAGCUGUUAAGUCUGCCGCCUGGGGAGUACGAUCGCAAGAUUGAAACUUAAAGGAAUUGGCGGGGGAGCACCACAAGGGUGAAGCUUGCGG